UCACCUUGUUGAGAAUAUUACGCGAGUAGGCAGCUCUUGUGGUGCAUCACAAUCGUUUGAGAAGCGUCACAGUAGAGUAUUUUUCUACAUGCGGAGCGGUGUUUUUAUUUGCAGGUUUCCCUUCAGUAGGAAAUUGCUGGACAGGCGGACCAGCGCACCGGAAUUGUGUUGGCGAAGCCACAAGCAACUCAUAGAAUCUGUUUAAUUGUUGCACUUUGAACAAUCAUGCUUCUACAAAGGCCACAGCAGAAAAACAGCCUGAUGCCGAGUAUUUCUGUGCCACGAAGUAAUCAAGAGGCGAGUGCCUAAUGCGGACGAAAUCGAGUGCAUCGAGACUUAGAACGACAGAAAGCUGAGCUAGUUGAUAUGCAAUGGCAAGCCCUUCUGUGUGUUCCAAAGACAAUGCCUACGCCUAGCCACAGCAGCUCCCUCAUACAGACUCCGCAAGCCAAGAGGCCAUGGAGGCAAAUGCAGGCAGCCAGCACACCUCGAACAGCCACCUUGUCUGCGGGUGUGUCACCCUAGUCGCCAAGGAAACAUUUGAGGGAAAGCGACAGGCAAUGUGAACAGCCACUUCUCCAUGUAAACGAUACUCUUUCUCUCGGAUGACUCCUACGCCUCGCCUCGCCAGCACACUUGUGCACAAAGAUGCCGCGGAGGCAUGUGCAGGACAGAGGCAAGAAGCAGUGGUACUGGUGUCGACAUUCACCCAAUUUCUUUUUCUUACACUGAGGCAGCCAGCACACCUUGAAGAGCCACCUUGACUGCGGGUGUGUCAGUAGAUUCUUGUUGUACAUAUGCUCAUAAUAAACUUCAGUAAACUUGAA
RNAcentral lists this long non-coding RNA (827 nucleotides) under Dermacentor andersoni. Its description in RNAcentral is "uncharacterized LOC126517740". Lineage: Eukaryota; Metazoa; Arthropoda; Arachnida; Ixodida; Ixodidae. The record is from RNAcentral.